RNAcentral lists this ribosomal RNA (450 nucleotides) under uncultured Glomeromycotina. RNAcentral's name for it is "SSU rRNA". It matches the Rfam family "Eukaryotic small subunit ribosomal RNA", at positions 569 to 1025 of the family's 1831-position model. Lineage: Eukaryota; Fungi; Glomeromycota. The record is from RNAcentral.
AGCAGCCGCGGUAAUUCCAGCUCCAAUAGCGUAUAUUAAAGUUGUUGCAGUUAAAAAGCUCGUAGUUGAAUUUCGGGACCAAUAUGUCGGUCGUGCCUCGGUACGCACUGGCUUAUUGGUUUCUCCUUUCUGAAGAACCAUGAUGUCAUUCAUUUGGUGUCGUGGGGAAUCAGGACUGUUACUUUGAAAAAAUUAGAGUGUUUAAAGCAGGCUCACGCUUGAAUACAUUAGCAUGGAAUAAUGAAAUAGGACGUUUGAUUCUAUUUUGUUGGUUUCUAGGAUCGACGUAAUGAUUAAUAGGGAUAGUUGGGGGCAUUAGUAUUCAAUUGUCAGAGGUGAAAUUCUUGGAUUUAUUGAAGACUAACUACUGCGAAAGCAUUUGCCAAGGAUGUUUUCAUUAAUCAAGAACGAAAGUUAGGGGAUCGAAGACGACCAGAUACCGUCGUAGUC